Molecule: ribosomal RNA, 497 nt
Filed under: uncultured bacterium
Lineage: Bacteria
Description: partial 16S ribosomal RNA
Rfam family: Bacterial small subunit ribosomal RNA
Source: RNAcentral
GAUGAACGCUGGCGGCGUGCCUAAUACAUGCAAGUCGAGCGAACAGACGAGGAGCUUGCUCCUCUGACGUUAGCGGCGGACGGGUGAGUAACACGCGGAUAACCUACCUAUAAGACUGGGAUAACUUCGGGAAACCGGAGCUAAUACCGGAUAAUAUAUUGAACCGCAUGGUUCAAUAGUGAAAGACGGUUUUGCUGUCACUUAUAGAUGGAUCCGCGCCGCAUUAGCUAGUUGGUAAGGUAACGGCUUACCAAGGCAACGAUGCGUAGCCGACCUGAGAGGGUGAUCGGCCACACUGGAACUGAGACACGGUCCAGACUCCUACGGGAGGCAGCAGUAGGGAAUCUUCCGCAAUGGGCGAAAGCCUGACGGAGCAACGCCGCGUGAGUGAUGAAGGUCUUCGGAUCGUAAAACUCUGUUAUUAGGGAAGAACAAAUGUGUAAGUAACUAUGCACGUCUUGACGGUACCCAAUCAGAAAGCCACGGCUAACUACGUG